RNAcentral lists this non-coding RNA (418 nucleotides) under Onchocerca ochengi. RNAcentral's name for it is "Eukaryotic large subunit ribosomal RNA". It matches the Rfam family "Eukaryotic large subunit ribosomal RNA", at positions 845 to 1353 of the family's 3401-position model. Lineage: Eukaryota; Metazoa; Nematoda; Chromadorea; Rhabditida; Onchocercidae. The record is from Rfam by way of RNAcentral.
AGCGAAAAGAUAUAUUUUUAAACAAAUUUUAAAAAUGGCAAUUUUCAUGAAAAAGAUCAAUUUUGCUUUUCAAAGCGAUUCUGACGUGCAAAUUGAUCGUCUCACUUUGGUAUAGGAGCGAAAGACUAAUCGAACAAUCUCGUAGUCCGGUUCCCCCUGAAGUUUCCAGCUGCUCAGGAUAGCUCGUGUAUUUAAUGAAGCUGUUGUAUCGGAUAAAGCGAAUGAUUAGAGGAACUGUGAAUUGAAAAAUUUUCAAUUUAUUCUCAAACUUUCAGUGAGUAUUAUGUCUCGGUUGCUUGAAUGAAGCGUAGGCAUUGAAUGUGUGCUUCAAGUGGGCAUUUUUGAUAAGCAGAACUGAAGUGGUGGAUGAACAAACAUUAAGUUCAGAGAGAAGGAUGUCUGGAAUCUAUAUUUUGCU